This 1139-nucleotide long non-coding RNA is filed under the name Zonotrichia albicollis (white-throated sparrow). RNAcentral describes it as "lncRNA (ENSZALG00000008731.1)". Lineage: Eukaryota; Metazoa; Chordata; Aves; Passeriformes; Passerellidae. The record is from RNAcentral.
UUCCCUUUAAAAUCAGGGGUUUUAUCCUUUAAAAUCAGUGAAAUAUUUUCCUUUAAAAUCAGGGGUUUCUUUCCUUUAAAAUCAGUGAAAUAUUUUCCUUUAAAAUCAGGGGUUUUAUCCUUUAAAAUCAGUGGAAUAUUUUCCUUUAAAACCAGUUUUGGAUCUCAGAGCUUCCCUGUUUUCCCAGCCACCAGGAGCCAAAAAUCUGUCCCAAAACCUUGGGGAAUCUCCCAUCCCUUCCUCAGGGCUCUCCCCACACCUUCCCAGCCUUUUUGCAUCUCCCUGCCCAAAAAUUGGGGAAUUGCUGCUCCCAGAGGGAAUUACUGACUUCAAAGGGUUGGGGAAAUAAAAACCACUCAGAUGCAAAACAUGCAAAAAACUAUUUUACUGACAAACAGCAAAGGAUGGGUUUGGUUCCAGGAGCUGAACUGGUUCUCUAUGGUACAAACAUCUUGGAAGGGAAGGAAUGGCUGAAAUACACUCACUUGUUGACCCAAAAUAAAUCACAGUGUGCUUUUUUUCUAUUGCCUCCCCCAGCCCAAGCUCUCUGCACCUUCAGCUGCUCCUCCAGCACAGCCCUGGCUGAAAUCUGCCUGUGCAAGUUGUAUUUCAAUAAAAAUAAAAAUAAAAAUUGGCCAUUAUUGCUUUUCAACCACAGUAGGGAUGGUUCUGUGAUGGAGCCAGAGCAGAGCUGGGUCUGUGGUGCAGUCUGGGCUGUGCCUCUCCCUGCCUGGUGCAUGCAGGAAAAAGGAAAAAAGGGAAAAUAAGGAUGGAGAUGGGGGCAGGCAGCACUGCAGGCUCGGUGCUGCUGCUCCAGGAGGGGAAAUCCUCCCAGGGAGAGCAGGAGGGGCUGGGAGCCCCCGGGAACAGGAAUGGGGGAGCCACAGCGGGGACAGGGCCAUGCAGGGCACGGAGGGACACACAGACAGAGCUCAGGACACACGGACACACAGCAGGGCCCGCAGCCCAGCCGGGGCGGGCAGCUCCUGCUGGCGCUGCCACAUCUGCCCUCUGCUCCUCCUCCUCUCCUCUUCUUCCUCACUUCUUCCUCUCCUCCUCUUCCUCUCCUCUGCUUCCCUUUCCUCUUCUUCCUCUCUUUUACUUCAUCUCCUCUCCUUCCUCUCCUCUGCCCUCUCCUC